CAGUAGCCGCGGGAACACGAAGGGUGCAAGCGUUAAUCGGAAUUACUGGGCGUAAAGCGUGCGUAGGCGGUUUGUUAAGUCUGCUGUGAAAUCCCCGGGCUCAACCUGGGAAUGGCAGUGGAUACUGGCAAGCUAGAGUGUGUCAGAGGAUGGUGGAAUUCCCGGUGUAGCGGUGAAAUGCGUAGAGAUCGGGAGGAACAUCAGUGGCGAAGGCGGCCAUCUGGGACAACACUGACGCUGAGGCACGAAAGCGUGGGGAGCAAACAGGAUUAGAUACCCGCGUAGUCCCUGUCUCUUAUAC
RNAcentral lists this ribosomal RNA (301 nucleotides) under uncultured bacterium. RNAcentral describes it as "partial 16S ribosomal RNA". It matches the Rfam family "Bacterial small subunit ribosomal RNA", at positions 509 to 807 of the family's 1533-position model. The record is from RNAcentral.